GAACACAGCCAUAUCACCCUGCAGCCCAAGACCGGUUACUUGCUAAAGCUAAGCAGGGCUGAGCCUGGUCAGUACCUGGAUGGGAGACUACCACAUGGGAAAACUAGGUUGCUGUUGAAA
This is a non-coding RNA of Danio rerio (zebrafish), 120 nucleotides long. The record is from Rfam. NCBI's taxonomy places the organism in Eukaryota, Metazoa, Chordata, Actinopteri, Cypriniformes, Danionidae.